GACGAACGCUGGCGGCGUGCUUAACACAUGCAAGUCGAACGGAAAGGCCCUGCUUUUGUGGGGUGCUCGAGUGGCGAACGGGUGUGUAACACGUGAGUAACCUGCCCUUGACUUUGGGAUAACUUCAGGAAACUGGGGCUAAUACCGGCUAGGAGCUCCUGCUGCAUGGUGGGGGUUGGAAAGUUUCGGCGGUUGGGGAUAGACUGGCGGCUUCUCAGCUUGUUGGUGGGGUAGUGGCUUACCCAGGCUUCGACGGGUAGGCGGCCUGGGAGGGGUGCCGGGGACCUGAGGCCUAAGAGACGCAGCAGACGGGAACGGGGGGCAACAGUGGGGAGUCUGACACAGUGGGCGGAAGCGUGAUGCAGCAACGCCGGGGGCGGAAAGACGGCCUUCGGGUUGUGAACAGCUUUCGCCUGAGAUGAAGCGUGAGUGACGGUAAUGGGUAAAGAAGCACCGGCUAACUACGUG
Molecule: ribosomal RNA, 468 nt
Filed under: uncultured bacterium
Lineage: Bacteria
Description: partial 16S ribosomal RNA
Rfam family: Bacterial small subunit ribosomal RNA
Source: RNAcentral